RNAcentral lists this long non-coding RNA (1696 nucleotides) under Daphnia magna. RNAcentral describes it as "uncharacterized LOC116930000, transcript variant X2". The record is from RNAcentral. Lineage: Eukaryota; Metazoa; Arthropoda; Branchiopoda; Diplostraca; Daphniidae.
GCAAAUGAAAAUCUUGAAAAUUUUUCUUCAUUUUCUGAAGAUUUUCGCCAUUGACAGACGUCAUUUCGCCACGCCAUCUAGCGGCCGAUUUUGGAAACAGCAAGGGAGAUCUUUUCUUCUCGCCAUUACUUUUUUUUCAAACUCCAACUAUCGAUACCUAACCAAACCCAGCUGUAGUACAUCGAUACCAUUCUUUUCUCAAUCAUUCCGCGCAGUCACUGUCUAAACAACAACAACAAGGUUGAAAUGUCCUCGCAAGAAGAUUAUUCCGAUUACUGUUGCACAUAUUGGUGUUUUCAACGUUUUAUGAUGGCAUUCCUUAAUUCCUAUCUUGCAUGUUGACUAGGUCUGUCUCAUUACUACGGAUUUGUUUUAGACGUCACUGGUAUGAAGUCACUGCUCUCUGCUUCGCUGGGAUUUGUUUUAGACGUCACUGGUAUGAAGUCACUGGUAUGGAGUCUCUGAUCUCUGCUUCACUGGGAUUUGUUUUAGACGUCACUGGUAUGAAGUCACUGGUAUGGAGUCUCUGGUUUGUUGACUAGCUCUCUGCUUCACUGGGAUUUCUUUUGAUGGCAAUGGCCCAGGUCCUGCAAGUGCCAUGCAAUUUCUUCUGACUAUUACAAUCAGUUGCCGCCAAGGAAAUUUCUGCUGCUUCGCCACACAAAAUAUUGGAAAUGAAAGUAAACAUUUCUUUGUAAACUUGGAAUACUCUCGUUUUCAUGGAUUUAGCUUGUGGUGAGUUAUCCAUCCAUGUGGUUACACAAUAACGCUUUGCCUUAGCAGGCAAAUGCCGUAUAAUUGGAGAAUUUGGAUCCAUACCUAAUGCUGUGUACAUGCCGCGCGGAUUUUUGGAAAAAUCUGUGCCGGUAUUCACAUUUUCACACACCUGUCUAUGCUGCCCCAGUUGGACUUCAUUUCUUCGCCGUUUACUUGAAGACGGCACAUCACUUUGUACUGCAUCUUGACACUCACAAUUACACCGUCUGCAAUUAUUGCAACUAUCGCAAACUGCUGAUUUACAUUUACACGAGAGGCCUGCCAUUUCUCUACUCCACUUGGAUAAGCAUGCCUGGCAACUAACUUUACUUUUGGUUUUUAUUACCAUCCCUCUUUAGCUUAGCUUUUUGGUCAAGUGUAAAGUCACAGGAUGGGUAACGUGAAACAAAGGAAAUGAAAGGGUAAGGGUAAGAAACGGAAGAAAAAACCAAAAGAAAAAUUAUCGGUUGUCCCAGUGGGACCAACUUCCAUGGAUCUUGUAAACUUUCAAGCACCAACUCGACAUGAUCAGUUUACAUUACCGGAAAAAUCUUAUUUCAUAAAACAAUUACGUCCCAUUAAUAUGCAUUUCUUAAUUAGUUCGAAUGAAAGGUGAAAAUAUGAAAUCCGGCAUCCGUACACGACAUUCCAGUAAAGCUCCCGUAGCAAAUCCUCUCAGAAAUCUAUCCAUUUGACUUCCGUCACAUGCGCCCGGCUCUGCCAAGUCAGCCAAGAAACCCACUACAAGGAUCGCCAUCGCAUUACUACUGAAUAUCGUGAAGUGUGUCGCCUCUUGACACGCAAGCCCCCUCAAAACGAUUCAGGAAAUGAAGGUCACAGACUUUGGCAACUACUAAAGACGAUAAUUCAAAUAUUAUAAAACAACAAUUUCAUUUCUUGGUGUGUAUUAAGUUGCUAAUACAUUUCAGUGUUAGCCUUG